RNAcentral lists this unclassified non-coding RNA (378 nucleotides) under plant metagenome. RNAcentral describes it as "partial contains 5.8S ribosomal RNA, internal transcribed spacer 2, and large subunit ribosomal RNA". The stretch from base 1 to 105 matches the Rfam family "5.8S ribosomal RNA", at positions 50 to 154 of the family's 154-position model. The record is from RNAcentral.
GAAAUGCGAUAAGUAAUGUGAAUUGCAGAAUUCAGUGAAUCAUCGAAUCUUUGAACGCACCUUGCGCUCCUUGGUAUUCCUUGGAGCAUGCCUGUUUGAGUAUCAUGAAAUCUUCAAAGUAAAUCUUUUGUUAACUCAAUUGGUUUCUACUUUGGUAUUGGAGGUCUUUGCAGCUUCACACCUCCUCCUCUUUGUUCAUUAGCUGGAUCUCAGUGUUAUGCUUGGUUCCACUCGGCGUGAUAAGUUAUCUAUCGCUGAGGACACUGUAAAAGGUGGCCAAGGUAAAUGCAGAUGAACCGCUUCUAAUAGUCCAUUGACUUGGACAAUACUUUUAUGAUCUGAUCUCAAAUCAGGUAGGACUACCCGCUGAACUUAAGC